UUUAAAGUUAGGCCUGCCCAAUGAAAUUUUUAAUGGCUGCAGUAUAUUGACUGUACAAAGGUAGCAUAAUCAUUAGUUUUUUAAAUGAAAACUGGAAUGAAAGGUUUGAUGAAAAAAUAACUGUCUUAAAUUAAAAAUUGAAUUUUAUUUUUAAGUUAAAAAGCUUAAAUUUUUUAAAAAGACGAGAAGACCCUAUAGAGUUUUAUUAAAAUAUUGAUAGAAUAAUAAAAAUGAUUUUAUUUUUAUUAUAUUUUAAUUUUAUUGGGGUGAUAGAAAAAUUAAUAAAACUUUUUUUUAAUUUAAAACAUAUAUUUAUGAAUUAAUGAUCCGUUAAUUAUGAUUAAAAGAAUAAAUUACCUUAGGGAUAACAGCAUAAUUUUUUUUGAAAGUUCUUAUUGAAAAAAAAGAUUAUGACCUCGAUGUUGGAUUAAAAUUUAAUUAAGGUGAAGAAGCUUU
Molecule: ribosomal RNA, 456 nt
Filed under: Microscapha sp. UPOL ZL0149
Lineage: Eukaryota; Metazoa; Arthropoda; Insecta; Coleoptera; Melandryidae
Description: partial 16S ribosomal RNA
Source: RNAcentral